Molecule: unclassified non-coding RNA, 263 nt
Filed under: plant metagenome
Description: partial contains small subunit ribosomal RNA, internal transcribed spacer 1, and 5.8S ribosomal RNA
Source: RNAcentral
UUUCCGUAGGUGAACCUGCGGAAGGAUCAUUAUUGUAUAACCGAGGUGCGAGGGCUGUCGCUGACCCGAAAGUUCGUGCACGCCCGAGUGCCUCCGCACACAUCCAUCUCACCCCUAUGUGCACCACCGCGUGGGUCCCCCUUUGGCUUUUUCGGAGGGGGGCUUACGUUUUCACACAAACUUUGUAUGCAGUGUAGAAUGUAUUUUUUGUUUUUGCGAUCACGCAAUCAAUACAACUUUCAACAACGGAUCUCUUGGCUCUC